UACGAAGGGGGCUAGCGUUGCUCGGAAUCACUGGGCGUAAAGCGCACGUAGGCGGAUUGCUAAGUCAGGGGUGAAAUCCUGGAGCUCAACUCCAGAACUGCCUUUGAUACUGGCGAUCUCGAGUCCGGGAGAGGUGAGUGGAACUGCGAGUGUAGAGGUGAAAUUCGUAGAUAUUCGCAAGAACACCAGUGGCGAAGGCGGCUCACUGGCCCGGUACUGACGCUGAGGUGCGAAAAGCGUGGGGAGGCAAACAGG
This 255-nucleotide ribosomal RNA is filed under the name uncultured bacterium. RNAcentral's name for it is "partial 16S ribosomal RNA". It matches the Rfam family "Bacterial small subunit ribosomal RNA", at positions 524 to 776 of the family's 1533-position model. The record is from RNAcentral.